AUUGAACGCUGGCGGCAUGCCUUACACAUGCAAGUCGAACGGUAACAGGUCUUCGGAUGCUGACGAGUGGCGAACGGGUGAGCAAUACAUCGGAACGUGCCCGAUCGUGGGGGAUAACGAAGCGAAAGCUUUGCUAAUACCGCAUAAGAUCUACGGAUGAAAGCAGGGGACCGCAAAGCCUUGCGCGAACGGAGCGGCCGAUGGCAGAUUAGGUAGUUGGUGGGAUAAAAGCUUACCAAGCCGACGAUCUGUAGCUGGUCUGAGAGGACGACCAGCCAAACUGGGACUGAGACACGGCCCAGACUCCUACGGGAGGCAGCAGUGGGGAAUUUUGGACAAUGGGCGAAAGCCUGAUCCAGCCAUGCCGCGUGCAGGAUGAAGGCCUUCGGGUUGUAAACUGCUUUUGUACGGAACGAAAAGACUCUUUCUAAUAAAGAGGGUCCAUGACGGUACCGUAAGAAUAAGCACCGGCUAACUACGUGCCAGCCGCCGCUGUAA
RNAcentral lists this ribosomal RNA (498 nucleotides) under uncultured bacterium. RNAcentral describes it as "partial 16S ribosomal RNA". It matches the Rfam family "Bacterial small subunit ribosomal RNA", at positions 30 to 523 of the family's 1533-position model. The record is from RNAcentral.